RNAcentral lists this long non-coding RNA (691 nucleotides) under Mustela putorius furo (domestic ferret). RNAcentral's name for it is "lncRNA (ENSMPUG00000026898.1)". Lineage: Eukaryota; Metazoa; Chordata; Mammalia; Carnivora; Mustelidae. The record is from RNAcentral.
UUGAGAACGCACACUUCGCAGGGUGGCAGCCCCCCUUUGGCCUGUUGUUGAGGAAUCCCACGGCUUGGGACAGACAGGCACAAGGUGGAGGCUCACAGGAAUGACCUCCAGAAAUCACAUCUAUGACCUGAGCUAAGUGCAGAUGAGAAGCUAACUGUUUGCUCUCACACAACCGUGGAACUGCCUGAACAUGAACGCGCUAGGACCUCCUUUUACCUUGACUUGCUGUGAUGGAAGAAAAGCCUGACUUGGAUCCACCCAGGCACUUUGAAAAACCAGAAGGAUCUUAUUACAGCAUCAGAUCCCUGUGGGACUGAAGUGGAAAAUGACAGGGUUCCAGGCUUUCUGUUCUGCAGACCUGCUGAGUGUGUUUGCCCGGCCCCGUGCCCACUCUCCCUGCUUCUUGAGCUGACACGGACCUGCAGCCCUUCCCUUCUCUAUGCGCUUCUGGCUUCGUGUAACUCACUGAGGCAGGGAAGUUUUAGCAGGAAAAGGGCACUUAGCGGAGAGGGACUGUUAAUUGCUAAAGAAGUUGUCUUCCCUUAGUGUUUUCCUCUCGGGGUGGGGUAGCACUUUAUUCUCCUCUUACUUGUUUUCCACUAGUAAUGGCUGCGAGAGGCCUUAAUUUUUCCUGCCCUGCCCAGUAUGGUAGCCACUGGCCAAUUGUGACACUUUAUAAUUUAAAUUUGAC